GAUGAACGCUAGCUACAGGCUUAACACAUGCAAGUCGAGGGGUAGCAUGGUCUUAGCUUGCUAAGGCCGAUGGCGACCGGCGCACGGGUGAGUAACACGUAUCCAACCUGCCGUCUACUCUUGGACAGCCUUCUGAAAGGAAGAUUAAUACAAGAUGGCAUCAUGAGUCCGCAUGUUCACAUGAUUAAAGGUAUUCCGGUAGACGAUGGGGAUGCGUUCCAUUAGAUAGUAGGCGGGGUAACGGCCCACCUAGUCUUCGAUGGAUAGGGGUUCUGAGAGGAAGGUCCCCCACAUUGGAACUGAGACACGGUCCAAACUCCUACGGGAGGCAGCAGUGAGGAAUAUUGGUCAAUGGGCGAGAGCCUGAACCAGCCAAGUAGCGUGAAGGAUGACUGCCCUAUGGGUUGUAAACUUCUUUUAUAAAGGAAUAAAGUCGGGUAUGCAUACCCGUUUGCAUGUACUUUAUGAAUAAGGAUCGGCUAACUCCGUGCCAGCAGCCGCGGUAAUACGGAGGAUCCGAGCGUUAUCCGGAUUUAUUGGGUUUAAAGGGAGCGUAGAUGGAUGUUUAAGUCAGUUGUGAAAGUUUGCGGCUCAACCGUAAAAUUGCAGUUGAUACUGGAUAUCUUGAGUGCAGUUGAGGCAGGCGGAAUUCGUGGUGUAGCGGUGAAAUGCUUAGAUAUCACGAAGAACUCCGAUUGCGAAGGCAGCCUGCUAAGCUGCAACUGACAUUGAGGCUCGAAAGUGUGGGUAUCAAACAGGAUUAGAUACCCUGGUAGUCCACACGGUAAACGAUGAAUACUCGCUGUUUGCGAUAUACAGCAAGCGGCCAAGCGAAAGCGUUAAGUAUUCCACCUGGGGAGUACGCCGGCAACGGUGAAACUCAAAGGAAUUGACGGGGGCCCGCACAAGCGGAGGAACAUGUGGUUUAAUUCGAUGAUACGCGAGGAACCUUACCCGGGCUUAAAUUGCAGAUGAAUUACGGUGAAAGCCGUAAGCCGCAAGGCAUCUGUGAAGGUGCUGCAUGGUUGUCGUCAGCUCGUGCCGUGAGGUGUCGGCUUAAGUGCCAUAACGAGCGCAACCCUUGUUGUCAGUUACUAACAGGUUCCGCUGAGGACUCUGACAAGACUGCCAUCGUAAGAUGUGAGGAAGGUGGGGAUGACGUCAAAUCAGCACGGCCCUUACGUCCGGGGCUACACACGUGUUACAAUGGGGGGUACAGAGGGCCGCUACCACGCGAGUGGAUGCCAAUCCCAAAAACCUCUCUCAGUUCGGACUGGAGUCUGCAACCCGACUCCACGAAGCUGGAUUCGCUAGUAAUCGCGCAUCAGCCACGGCGCGGUGAAUACGUUCCCGGGCCUUGUACACACCGCCCGUCAAGCCAUGGGAGCCGGGGGUACCUGAAGUGCGUAACCGCGAGGAGCGCCCUAGGG
Molecule: ribosomal RNA, 1430 nt
Filed under: uncultured organism
Description: SSU rRNA
Rfam family: Bacterial small subunit ribosomal RNA
Source: RNAcentral